RNAcentral lists this long non-coding RNA (5317 nucleotides) under Pelobates cultripes (western spadefoot toad). Lineage: Eukaryota; Metazoa; Chordata; Amphibia; Anura; Pelobatidae. The record is from RNAcentral.
UCUAGAGGUUGGGCAUAGCAUGUAUCAAAACAUCUUGUUCAUUCCACAGACCAGAAACAGACAAGCAACAUAGGGACCCCAGGUAAGGGAGACAGAGACUCUGUAUACAGACAGCACACUAUACAGGGACCCCAGGUAAGGGAGACAGACUCUGUAUACAGACAGCACACUAUACAGGAACCCCAGGUAAGGGAGACAGAGACUCUGUAUACAGACAGCACACUAUACAGGGACCCCAGGUAAGGGAGACAGACUCUGUAUACAGACAGCACACUAUACAGGGACCCCAGGUAAAGGAGACAGAGACUCUGUAUACAGACAGCACACUAUACAGAGACCCCAGGUAAAGGAGACAGAGACUCUGUAUACAGACAGCACACUAUACAGGACCCCAGGUAAAGGAGACAGAGACUCUGUAUACAGACAGCACACUAUACAGGGACCCCAGGUAAAGGAGACAGAGACUCUGUAUACAGACAGCACACUAUACAGGGACCCCAGGUAAGGAGACAGAGACUCUGUAUACAGACAGCACACUAUACAGGGACCCCAGGUAAGGAGACAGACUCUGUAUACAGACAGCACACUAUACAGGGACCCCAGGUAAAGGAGACAGACACUCUGUAUACAGACAGCACACUAUACAGGGACCCCAGGUAAAGGAGACACAGACUCUGUAUACAGACAGCACACUAUACAGGGACCCCAGGUAAGGGAGACAGACUCUGUAUACAGACAGCACACUAUACAGGGACCCCAGGUAAAGGAGACAGAGACUCUGUAUACAGACAGCACACUAUACAGGAGACCCCAGGUAAAGGAGACAGAGACUCUGUAUACAGACAGCACACUAUACAGGAACCCCAGGUAAAGGAGACAGAGACUCUGUAUACAGACAGCACACUAUACAGGGACCCCAGGUAAAGGAGACAGACUCUGUAUACAGACAGCACACUAUACAGGGACCCCAGGUAAAGGAGACAGAGACUCUGUAUACAGACAGCACACUAUACAGGGACCCCAGGUAAAGGAGACAGAGACUCUGUAUACAGACAGCACACUAUACAGGGACCCCAGGUAAAGGAGACACAGACUCUGUAUACAGACAGCACACUAUACAGGGACCCCAGGUAAGGGAGAGACAGACUCUGUAUACAGACAGCACACUAUACAGGGACCCCAGGUAAGGGAGACAGAGACUCUGUAUACAGACAGCACACUAUACAGGAACCCCAGGUAAAGGAGACACAGACUCUGUAUACAGACAGCACACUAUACAGGGACCCCAGGUAAAGGAGAGACAGACUCUGUAUACAGACAGCACACUAUACAGGGACCCCAGGUAAAGGAGAGACAGACUCUGUAUACAGACAGCACACUAUACAGGAACCCCAGGUAAAGGAGACACAGACUCUGUAUACAGACAGCACACUAUACAGGGACCCCAGGUAAAGGAGAGACAGAAUCUGUAUACAGACAGCACACUAUACAGGGACCCCAGGUAAGGGAGACACAGACUCUGUAUACAGACAGCACACUAUACAGGAACCCCAGGUAAGGGAGACAGAGACUCUGUAUACAGACAGCACACUAUACAGGGACCCCAGGUAAAGGAGAGACAGACUCUGUAUACAGACAGCACACUAUACAGGGACCCCAGGUAAGGGAGACACAGACUCUGUAUACAGACAGCACACUAUACAGGGACCCCAGGUAAAGGAGACAGAGACUCUGUAUACAGACAGCACACUAUACAGGGACCCCAGGUAAAGGAGACACAGACUCUGUAUACAGACAGCACACUAUACAGGGACCCCAGGUAAGGGAGAGACAGACUCUGUAUACAGACAGCACACUAUACAGGGACCCCAGGUAAGGGAGACAGAGACUCUGUAUACAGACAGCACACUAUACAGGAACCCCAGGUAAAGGAGACACAGACUCUGUAUACAGACAGCACACUAUACAGGGACCCCAGGUAAAGGAGAGACAGACUCUGUAUACAGACAGCACACUAUACAGGGACCCCAGGUAAAGGAGAGACAGACUCUGUAUACAGACAGCACACUAUACAGGAACCCCAGGUAAAGGAGACACAGACUCUGUAUACAGACAGCACACUAUACAGGGACCCCAGGUAAAGGAGAGACAGAAUCUGUAUACAGACAGCACACUAUACAGGGACCCCAGGUAAGGGAGACACAGACUCUGUAUACAGACAGCACACUAUACAGGAACCCCAGGUAAGGGAGACAGAGACUCUGUAUACAGACAGCACACUAUACAGGGACCCCAGGUAAGGGAGACAGACUCUGUAUACAGACAGCACACUAUACAGGGACCCCAGGUAAAGGAGACAGAGACUCUGUAUACAGACAGCACACUAUACAGGACCCCAGGUAAAGGAGACAGAGGCUUUCAGCCACAGACAGCACACACUAUACAGGGACCCCAGGUAAAAAGGAGAACAGACUCUGUAUACAGACAGCACACUAUACACAGGGACCCCAGGUAGGAGACACACAGACUUUCUGUAUACAGACAGCACUAUACAGGGACCCCAGGUAAAGGAGACAGAGGCUCUGUGCCACAGACAGCACACUGCAAGAGACCCCACGGAGUACAAGGAGACAGAGACUCUGUAUACAGACCCCAGCACACUAUACAGAGACCCCCAGGUAAAGAGACAGAACUCUGUAGCCACAGACAGCACUCUCUGAGGGACCCCAGGUAAAGGAGACAGAGACUCUGUAUACAGACAGCACACUAUACAGGGACCCCAGGUAAAGGAGAGACAGACUCUGUAUACAGACAGCACACUAUACAGGGACCCCAGGUAAAGGAGACAGAGACUCUGUAUACAGACAGCACACUAUACAGGGACCCCAGGUAAAGGAGAGACAGACUCUGUAUACAGACAGCACACUAUACAGGGACCCCAGGUAAGGGAGACACAGACUCUGUAUACAGACAGCACACUAUACAGGGACCCCAGGUAAAGGAGACAGAGACUCUGUAUACAGACAGCACACUAUACAGGGACCCCAGGUAAGGGAGACAGAGACUCUGUAUACAGACAGCACACUAUACAGGGACCCCAGGUAAGGGAGACAGAGACUCUGUAUACAGACAGCACACUAUACAGGGACCCCAGGUAAAGGAGACAGAGACUCUGUAUACAGACAGCACACUAUACAGAGACCCCAGGUAAAGGAGACACAGACUCUGUAUACAGACAGCACACUAUACAGGGACCCCAGGUAAGGGAGACAGACUCUGUAUACAGACAGCACACUAUACAGGGACCCCAGGUAAAGGAGACAGAGACUCUGUAUACAGACAGCACACUAUACAGAGACCCCAGGUAAAGGAGACAGAGACUCUGUAUACAGACAGCACACUAUACAGGGACUCCAGGUAAGGGAGAGACAGACUCUGUAUACAGACAGCACACUAUACAGGAACCCCAGGUAAAGGAGACAGAGACUCUGUAUACAGACAGCACACUAUACAGGGACCCCAGGUAAAGGAGACAGAGACUCUGUAUACAGACAGCACUCUAUACAGGGACCCCAGGUAAAGGAGACAGAGACUCUGUAUACAGACAGCACACUAUACAGAGACCCCAGGUAAAGGAGACAGAGACUCUGUAUACAGACAGCACACUAUACAGAGACCCCAGGUAAAGGAGACAGAGACUCUGUAUACAGACAGCACACUAUACAGGGACCCCAGGUAAAGGAGAGACAGACUCUGUAUACAGACAGCACACUAUACAGGAAUCCCAGGUAAAGGAGACACAGACUAUGUAUACAGACAGCACACUAUACAGGGACCCAAGGUAAGGGAGACAGACUCUGUAUACAGACAGCACACUAUACAGGAACCCCAGGUAAAGGAGACACAGACUCUGUAUACAGACAGCACACUAUACAGGGACCCAAGGUAAGGGAGACAGACUCUGGUAAUAAUAACUGGGGGAUAUACUGGGGGGUAAUACUCACUGGGGGAUAUACUGGGGGGUAAUACUCACGGGGGGAUAUACUGGGUAGGGUAAUACUCACUGGGGGAUAUACUGGGUAGGGUAAUACUCACUGGGGGAUAUACUGGGUAGAGUAAUACUCACUGGGGGAUAUACUGGGUAGGGUAAUACUCACUGGGGGAUAUACUGGGUAGGGUAAUACUCACUGGGGGAUAUACUGGGUAGGGUAAUACUCACUGGGGAUUAUGCUGAGGGGUAAUACUCACUGGGGGAUAUGCUGAGGGGUAAUACUCACUGGGGGAUAUGAGGGGUAAUAUUUACUGGGGAUAUACUGAGGGGUAAUACUUACUGGGGGGUAUAUACUGAGGGAUAAUACUCACUGGGGGAUAUGCUGAGGGGUAAUAUUUACUGGGGGAUAUACUGAGGGAUAAUACUCACUGGAGCAUAUACUGAGUGGCAUUACUCACUGGGGGGAUAUACUGAGGGGUAAUACUCACUGGGGGGGAUAUACUGAGGGGUAAUACUCACUGGGGGGGGGGAUAUACUGAGGGGUAAUACUCACUGGAAGAUAUGCUGAGGGGUAAUACUCACUGGGGGGAUACUUAUUGGUAAUACUCACGAGUGAAUAGACAGAGAGGUAACACAUGGAUACAGGUAGGUACGAACAGAUAGGGACAUUAGUGAAUGUGGUUGUCUUUGAUUUGUAGGUAGAAACAUCUUCCAGAAUGCUGAAGCAAUUUCUUCUUGUGUCCAUCUCCCUCCAACUCCUAGUGAACUGUAAGGGACAGGUGAGUGUGGCACUCUGAGAAUAGGGACAGGAGGUAAGUGAGACUGAGAAUAGUCACAGUAACGGGGAUUGAGGGCCUGCUCAGUGAGUUUACAUGUUAGAGGGAGUGGGGUAUAGUGACACAGUAACAGAGGGAUUGAGGGUCUGCUCAGUGAGUUUACAUGUUAGAGGGAGUGGGGUAUAGUGACACAGUAACAGAGGGAUUGAGGGCCUGCUCAGUGAGUUUACAUGUUAGAGGGAGUGGGGUAUAGUGACACAGUAACAGAGGGAUUGAGGGCCCUGCUCAGUGAGUUUACAUGUUAGAGGGAGAGGGGUAUGGUGACACACAGUAACAGAGGAUUGAGGCCCUGUCAGUGAGUUUACAUGUUAGAGGGAGUGGAGGUAUGGUAACCAGUAACAGAGGAUUGAGUGACACCCGCUCGUGAGUUUACAUGUUAGAGGUGGGGUAUGAGUGACAGUGCUGGAGGAUUGAGGCCCACGGCUCAGUGAGGUUUACAUGUUGGAGGUGGGGUAUAGUGACAGUAACAGAGGGAUUGAGGGCCCUGCUC